Thunnus maccoyii (southern bluefin tuna) is the source of this 769-nucleotide long non-coding RNA. RefSeq lists it as uncharacterized. Lineage: Eukaryota; Metazoa; Chordata; Actinopteri; Scombriformes; Scombridae. The record is from RefSeq and is a predicted model, not a curated record. The transcript has 6 exons.
GAAGAGGCUGUUCCUCGGAUGGGGGGAGUGGGUCCCCUUUCCAUUUCCUCUUCUUCCUCCAGCUCAUCAGGCUGCAGGAUGGUGGGGGUGGGGUUACCUGAUGCGACACAGUUGAGGACCACUGUGCCGUCCACAGCCACUGUCUGAUUGGUUGGGCCCUGUCUGAUCACUGGCGGCGGGCGGUCUGACACAACUAUGGACGGAGGAAGUCGAAUGAGCAAUUAUGUGGAGGAAUGGAAGGACAAAAACUGUGAAGCUGUUCAUGUGGUGUAGCAAGAACGAGAGAAAUGGAGGAUUCAGACAAUUAUAUCCAGCUUGUGUGGAGAAACACACAAAAGGCAGAAAAUGAAAAUGGCUGGCUGUGGGUUACCAGUGACCUCGCACUGGAAGGUGACGGUUCUGCCAACCCCAACCACCUGGUUCCUUGGUCUCACCACAAACGCUGGGGGCACUGGAGGACAGCCAUGAGAGUGGUGUUGUGUGAAGGUGAACAUCUCUGUGCCCUUAAUGAGGUUUAGAGCACCCUGAGGAGCAGCUAGAUCACAGUCUCUCAAACACAGCCAGGCAAAUGUAAGCCUGGUCCAUAAAAAUACAAGGUGUAGGAGCCUACAUCAGCUGGGGUCAGACGACGGAUCUUCAGGGUGUGGUCCUCACGAAUUUCAUAUCUGGAUGAAAACAGUUCUCCAUCAUCUUUCCUCCAGCGCACAGUGGGAACUGGGUCACCACGGGCCUCACACCUGAACUCUACACUUUGGUCCACCAACACCAC